This 107-nucleotide non-coding RNA is filed under the name Levilactobacillus paucivorans. Its description in RNAcentral is "Lactobacillus paucivorans TPP sequence". It matches the Rfam family "TPP riboswitch aptamer (THI element)". From Rfam's summary of the family: Vitamin B(1) in its active form thiamin pyrophosphate (TPP) is an essential coenzyme that is synthesised by coupling of pyrimidine and thiazole moieties in bacteria. The previously detected thiamin-regulatory element, thi box was extended, resulting in a new, highly conserved RNA secondary structure, the THI element, which is widely distributed in eubacteria and also occurs in some archaea. Lineage: Bacteria; Bacillati; Bacillota; Bacilli; Lactobacillales; Lactobacillaceae. The record is from RNAcentral.
CCAGAACACUAGGGGUGUCCACGAGUUGGGCUGAGAUGCGUCUCGCACGCGAUCCCUUGGAACCUGUCAAGUUCACACUUGCGAAGGGAAUGUGUCGUGAGACCGUA